GUCCGAUGAUUCUUUAAAACAUGUUUUUAAAUAACAUCAGUGUUGCAUAAAUCGGUGACUUUGUAGCAUGCAGAUCAAAGUUCGAAGUUCAAACUAACGUUGGCAGUUUUCACGUCAUGUAACAUAUGAACUAUUCGCUAUGUGCAAUAUGAUAAAUAUUCAACCACCAGAGAUUUUAGAAACGAAAUCAACGUUUUCUCGAUUACGUAUCUCCUUCGUUCAUAAAUUAUAUGCAUCCUCGUGCGACGUGUAUUUUAAUGAAUUAAAAUAAAACAAAAAUCGUUAUUUUUAAAGCACGAUGUUAAAAAGUGAACCCCUCUUAUCGAUCUAUCCAUUGUUCUAUAAUUGGCGAGCCAUCCUUUUUGUUGUUUGGUCCGUGGACAGAACGCGCGAGAAAACCGUGAACUAAAAAAUCGUUCGAUGGUUUACGUGUUUUUAAAAAAAGAUCAAAUAAAAACAACGAUAGUAGAAACAUGUAUAAUUGUGUAUAUUCUUCGUACGUUAAUUAUAAAUAGGGAAAAAAUAGUAAACAGAGUGAUUUCGAUGAAACAUAAUAUAAUUACUUCAAAUUAGAAAAUUAAAAAGUUGCGACAAAAUAAAAUAUAAUAAUUUGAUUUUCAAAAAUGAAACGUAAAGGGUUGAAGGAUUUAGUGUGGAUCAAGACUGAUAGUCUUCUCUUCUUUGACAUGAUUCACGAGCCACAUCUCCAAUAACUAUGCUACUCCAAUUUCGAUAAUAUGCACAUCGAUGACAUUUAGUAAAUAAACAUUUUUAAAACUGACAUUCAAUAAAUUCAAGAUGACAUUUAAUAAACAAACAUGGAUGGAAAUAAACGCUUCAAAAAAUCAGUAAUAUUCACACCCACGUAAAAAUUUUGCACGUAUUGAAAAACGAAGAAGAAAUAAUACACACAUUCUUGCAUAUUUCAUUUUCUGGAAAUAAGGCUGUUCUAAUCUUACAUAAAUUAUAUUAACUCGGACAACCGCAACAGUAUUACGUGUAAGUUUGACUACUAUUGCAAUUCAGAUAACCCUAAUCGCACUACUCUAAUACCCGUUGCAUAAUCAAGAAAUCUAGUUCAAAUCUCGGUUCGGUUUGGUUGGUAUGAAGAUAAAAAAAUAUAGUUUAAUGUCCAGCUGGCAUGUACGAUCGAAGCACUGCGGGAAAAUCGAGAUACAGGCUCCUCGAGUACUCACCCUUCGAACGAUUACGAACCAGGGGUUGGUCUGUCAAGGACACGUCGCGAUCCAAGCGCUACCGUGAUCCUGCGUGCACUGCGACUACUAGAGUACUCGCUGGGCCGGUUUCAAGUUUCUUCCGUGUCUAUGCACAAGCUUGAGAGCGUGAAAGUUGCGCGACCCGCCAUGGCAUACUAUCGCCUGGCCAGAAUGGACGAGUUGUCGCCGACGACAUCGCUUCCUGGACGAGACUGGUAUCGCCUUGAGUCAUCGGGCUAACUUGCGGUUUCCUGUUAAAGCCCCUAGACUCGUUCGUGGUUCCUUGAACUGGGUCAAUCGGGGACUAGAGCACGGAGAUCAAGACGAAGGAAUGAGAAAUAUGGUGAAACGUGGACAUCCUUCUUCCAAAAGUAUCGUCAAACUUGGAUAAGUGAGAAACCUCUAUUACUGGAAUUAAUUGACAAGUAGCAGUAAUCUUGUAUCAAGGAACUUCUGCUGGACUAUCAAACCAUUUUAACAAGACUGAUUUUAGUGGAUUGCGGAUGUCGAAUGAUUAAAUAGUAAACGAGUAGACGAGUAGAUGAAUAGGCGAGUAGACUUUCAAGUGAGUAGACUUUUGGAUUCCUAGUCGAGCAAGCUUUUAUACUUUUAUUAGACGAGUAGAUGAAUCGACGAGUAGACUGUUAGAAUCUUAAAUGAAUAGCAAAUUUAUAUUUUUAUAUAAUAUACACAGAUGAAGAAUAGAAUGUUAAUAAAUAGAAUGUUAGUAAAUGUUAGUUACAUGUGUAUUGGAAAACUGAAAUAAAAUGGUAAAAUUCUCUUGA
Long non-coding RNA from Hylaeus anthracinus, 2002 nucleotides. RefSeq lists it as uncharacterized. The record is from RefSeq and is a predicted model, not a curated record. NCBI's taxonomy places the organism in Eukaryota, Metazoa, Arthropoda, Insecta, Hymenoptera, Colletidae. The transcript has 2 exons.